GUGCCAGCAGCCGCGGUAAUACGGAGGGUGCAAGCGUUACUCGGAAUCACUGGGCGUAAAGCGCGCGCAGGCGGCCUUUUAAGUUGGAUGUGAAAGCCUAUGGCUCAACCAUAGAACUGCAUCCAAAACUAUCAGGCUAGAGUGUGGGAGAGGAAGAUGGAAUUAGUUGUGUAGGGGUAAAAUCCGUAGAGAUAACUAGGAAUACCAAAAGCGAAGGCAAUCUUCUGGAACAUUACUGACGCUGAGGCGCGAAAGCGUGGGGAGCAAACAGGAUUAGAUACCCUGGUAGUCCACGCCCUAAACGAUGAAUGUUAGUCGUCGGGUAGCUAGUCUAUUCGGUGAUGCAGCUAACGCAUUAAACAUUCCGCCUGGGGAGUACGGUCGCAAGAUUAAAACUCAAAGGAAUAGACGGGGACCCGCACAAGUGGUGGAGCAUGUGGUUUAAUUCGAAGAUACGCGAAGAACCUUACCUAGCCUUGACAUAUUUUAGAACACUUUAGAGAUAGAGUGGUGCCUUCGGGAGCUAAUAUACAGGUGCUGCACGGCUGUCGUCAGCUCGUGUCGUGAGAUGUUGGGUUAAGUCCCGCAACGAGCGCAACCCUUGUCACUAGUUACUAACGGUUCGGCCAGGACUCUAGUGAGACUGCCUUCGCAAGGAGGAGGAAGGUGAGGACGACCUUAAGUCAUCAUGGCCCUUACGGCUAGGGCAACACACGUGCUACAAUGGCCAU
RNAcentral lists this ribosomal RNA (731 nucleotides) under uncultured bacterium. RNAcentral's name for it is "bacterial SSU rRNA". It matches the Rfam family "Bacterial small subunit ribosomal RNA", at positions 505 to 1237 of the family's 1533-position model. The record is from RNAcentral.